Non-coding RNA from Pelobates cultripes (western spadefoot toad), 514 nucleotides. The record is from the annotation of a GenBank genome assembly. Lineage: Eukaryota; Metazoa; Chordata; Amphibia; Anura; Pelobatidae.
CCUGGCCCAUAAGCUACCAUACAAUGCCUUCAAAGAUUUCAAGAAAGCAGAAGAAGGCAUAGAUGACUUUUUACAAGACUUGGAGCGUCAGUGCCUACUCCAAGUAGCUGUCGACAUUAUAGUUGUGCAGGCACUUUGGUGACUCUAGAGAACCUCGGGCCAAUCUCACAUCCACGUGACGGCGACGACGCAUUUGGAUGUCUGCCCUAUCAACUUUUGAUGGACUUUCUGCGCCUACCAUGGUGACCACGAGUAAUGGGGAAUGAGGGUUAGAUUCCGGAAAGGAAGUCUGAGAAAUGGCUACAUCCAAGGAAGGCAGUAGGCGCGCAAAAUUCCCACUCCCGACACAGUGAGGUAGUGACGACAAAUAACAAUACAGAACUCUUUACAGGCCAUGUAAUUGUAAUGAGUCCACUUGAAAUCCUAUAACUAGGAUCAAUUGGAGGUCAAGUCUGGGGCAGAGAAUAUGAGGCGGUGAGCGGGAAGGCCAAAGUUUUGCUGCAGCGCAGACAGG